RNAcentral lists this ribosomal RNA (468 nucleotides) under uncultured bacterium. RNAcentral describes it as "partial 16S ribosomal RNA". It matches the Rfam family "Bacterial small subunit ribosomal RNA", at positions 28 to 507 of the family's 1533-position model. The record is from RNAcentral.
GAUGAACGCUGGCGGCGUGCCUAACACAUGCAAGUCGAACGGAAAGGCCCUGCUCUUGUGGGGUGCUCGAUUGGCGAACGGGGGAGUAUCACGCGAGUAUCCUGCCCUUGUCUUUGGGAUAACUUCACGAAACUGGGGCUAUUAUCGGAUAGGAUCUCCUGCUCCAUGGGGGGCGUUGGAAAGUUUCGGCGGUUGGGGAUGGACUCGCGGCUUACCGGCUUGUUUGUGAGGUAGUUGCUUACCAAGGCUUAGACGGGUAGCCGGCCUGAGAGGGUGAACGGCGACCAUGGGACUGAGGUACGGCGCAGACGGCUACGGGAGGCAACAGGGGGGAAUAUUGCGCAAUGAGGGGACGCCUGAUGCAGCAGCGCCGCGAGCGGGAAACCGGCCUUCUGGGGAAAAACAACUUUCGCCUGAAACGAGCCGUGAGUGACGGUAAUGGAUAAAAAAGCCACGGCUAACUACGUG